GCCAGGCGUGGUGGCUCACGCCUGUAAUCCCAGUACUUUGGGAGGCCGAGGCAGGCGAUCACCUGAGGUCAGGAGUUUGAGACCAGCCUGACCAACAUGGAGAGACCCUGCCUCUA
RNAcentral lists this small RNA (116 nucleotides) under Pongo abelii (Sumatran orangutan). RNAcentral describes it as "Metazoan signal recognition particle RNA (ENSPPYG00000039545.1)". The record is from Rfam by way of RNAcentral. Lineage: Eukaryota; Metazoa; Chordata; Mammalia; Primates; Hominidae.